Molecule: ribosomal RNA, 443 nt
Filed under: Vertigo clementina
Lineage: Eukaryota; Metazoa; Mollusca; Gastropoda; Stylommatophora; Vertiginidae
Description: Sterkia clementina partial 16S ribosomal RNA
Rfam family: Archaeal large subunit ribosomal RNA
Source: RNAcentral
UAGCUUUAAGUUUUUAUUUAAAGUUUUACCUGCCCGGUGAAUAUUUUUAACGGCCGCAGUACUUUGACUGUGCUAAGGUAGCAUAAUAAAUUGACUUUUAAUUAAAGUCGGGUAUGAAAGGGGCUUCGGAGAGUAACUGUCUCGAAAUAUUUUAUUUUAAAUUACUCAAUGAGUGAAAAUACUCAUAAAUUUUUUUAUUAGACGAGAAGACCCUUAGAGUUAUAAUUAAAAUGAUUAUUUUUCAUAUUUCAUUUUUGUUGGGGCAACAAAGACUGGAUAUAACCGUCAAAAAAUUGUUUAACAUAGCCAAUGUAUUAAAAAAGAAAUAAACUACCUUAGGGAUAACAGCAUAAUUAAUUUUUAGAUUGUGACCUCGAUGUUGGAUUAAGGACUUUAUUUACUAGCCGUAAACAAAGAUGGUUCUGUUCGAACUGUGAUACCUU